This 1238-nucleotide ribosomal RNA is filed under the name metagenome. RNAcentral describes it as "bacterial LSU rRNA". It matches the Rfam family "Bacterial large subunit ribosomal RNA", at positions 1564 to 2815 of the family's 2925-position model. The record is from RNAcentral.
UGAGUACGAGAUGCUACGGCAUCGAAGCAGUCUAUGUCAUACUUCCAAGAAAAGCUUGCACUGUCAUAAACAAAGAAUGCCUGUACCAUAACCGACACAGGUGGGUAGGUAGAGUAUACUAAGGGGCGCGAGAUAACUCUCUCUAAGGAACUCGGCAAAAUGACUCCGUAACUUCGGGAGAAGGAGUGCCUUAUUUCUAAGGUUGCAAUAACAAGAUCCAAGCAACUGUUUACCAAAAACACAGGUCUCCGCUAAGUCGUAAGACGAUGUAUGGGGGCUGACGCCUGCCCAGUGCCAGAAGGUUAAAGAAGUUGGUUAGCAUUAGCGAAGCUGAUAACUGAAGCCCUGGUGAACGGCGGCCGUAACGAUAACGGUCCUAAGGUAGCGAAAUUCCUUGUCGGGUAAGUUCCGACCCGCACGAAAGGCGUAAUGAUUUGGAUACUGUCUCGGAGAGGGGCUCGGUGAAAUAGACUUGUCUGUGAAGAUGCGGACUACCUGCACCUGGACAGAAAGACCCUAUGAAGCUUUACUGUAACUUGAGAAAAUUGGACUUUAUUUGCGCAGUAUAGGUGGGAGGCGUUGAGAAUAAUCUUGCGGGAUUGUUGGAGCCAUCAGUGAGAUACCACUCUUGUAAUGUUAGAUUUCUAACUUUGUAUCAUUAUCUGGUCAAAGAACAGUUUCAGGCGGGCAGUUUGACUGGGGCGGUCGCCUCCCAAAGGGUAACGGAGGCGCACAAAGGUUUCCUCUGAACGGGUAGAAAUCGUAUCUAGAGUGUAAAGGCAUAAGGAAGCUUGACUGUGAGACCUACAAGUCGAGCAGGGACGAAAGUCGGUCUUAGUGAUCUGACGGUGCUGAGUGGAAAGGCCGUCACUCAACGGAUAAAAGUUACUCUAGGAUAACAGGCUGAUCUCCCCCAAGAGUUCACAUCGACGGGGAGGUUUGGCACCUCGAUGUCGGCUCAUCGCAUCCUGGGGCGGUAGUCCGUCCCAAGGGUUGGGCUGUUCGCCCAUGAAAGCGGUACGCGAGCUGGGUUCAGAACGUCGUGAGACAGUUCGGUCCAUAUCCGGUGUAGGCGUUAGAAUAUUGAGAGGAGCCUUCUCUAGUACGAGAGGACCGAGAAGGACAUACCUCUGGUGUACCAGUUAUCGUGCCAACGGUAAACGCUGGGUAGCUAUGUAUGGAGUGGAUAACCGCUGAAAGCAUCUAAGUGGGAAGCCCACCUCAAGAUAAGUAUUCAC